UACGUAGGGGGCGAGCGUUGUCCGGAGUUACUGGGCGUAAAGCGCACGCAGGCGGUCUGCUAAGUUUGGAGUUACAGUUGGUGGCUUAACUGCCAAAGUGCUUCGAAAACUGACGAGCUUGAGUGCCGGAGAGGGUCGCGGAAUUCCCGGUGUAGAGGUGAAAUUCGUAGAUAUCGGGAGGAACACCAGUGGCGAAGGCGGCGACCUGGACGGACACUGACGCUGAGACGCGAAAGCGUGGGGAGCAAACAGG
RNAcentral lists this ribosomal RNA (253 nucleotides) under uncultured bacterium. RNAcentral describes it as "partial 16S ribosomal RNA". It matches the Rfam family "Bacterial small subunit ribosomal RNA", at positions 524 to 776 of the family's 1533-position model. The record is from RNAcentral.